UCUAUAAGGGAAUGCUUAGAUAUGCUGCUCCUUGCUUCAUACAGUUAAUAUCAUCCGCAUGAAGCUGGGACCAAAACUCACACGUUUGCAACAUGAGUUGUGUAAAGAAGUUACUUUGCGGGAAAUUCAAGAUGCACUGUUCAACAUUGACAGUAACAAAAUUCAUGGUAUUGAUGGUUUUACGACUUGCUUUUCCAUGA
Molecule: long non-coding RNA, 200 nt
Filed under: Capsicum annuum
Lineage: Eukaryota; Viridiplantae; Streptophyta; Magnoliopsida; Solanales; Solanaceae
Description: long non-coding RNA (CANN_LNC018533)
Source: RNAcentral